Molecule: ribosomal RNA, 144 nt
Filed under: Cercozoa sp.
Lineage: Eukaryota; Cercozoa
Description: partial small subunit ribosomal RNA
Rfam family: Eukaryotic small subunit ribosomal RNA
Source: RNAcentral
UAGUUGGUGGAGUGAUUUGUCUGGUUAAUUCCGUUAACGAACGAGACCUCGACCUGCUAAAUAGUAGGCGCAAUUACGAUUGCGCGAGACUUCUUAGAGGGACUUUUGGUGUUAUAGCCAAAGGAAGUUCGAGGCAAUAACAGG